Molecule: ribosomal RNA, 572 nt
Filed under: uncultured rumen bacterium
Lineage: Bacteria
Description: bacterial SSU rRNA
Rfam family: Bacterial small subunit ribosomal RNA
Source: RNAcentral
ACUCAAAGGAAUUGACGGGGCCCGCACAAGCGGAGACAUGUGUUAAUUCGAUGAUACGCGAGAACCUUACCCGGGCUUGAACUGCAGGAGAACGAUACAGAGAUGUUGAGUCCUUCGGACUCCUGUGGAGUGCUGCAUGUGUCGUCAGCUCGUGCCGUGAGGUGUCGGCUUAAGUGCCAUAACGAGCGCAACCCUUUUCGUCAGUUGCCAUCAGGUGAUGCUGGGCACUCUGGCGAUACUGCCACCGUAAGGUGUGAGGAAGGUGGGGAUGACGUCAAAUCAGCACGGCCCUUACGUCCGGGGCUACACACGUGUUACAAUGGUGACAACAAAGAGGAGCGAGACCGUAAGGUGGAGCGGAUCUCAAAAAAGUCAUCCCAGUUCGGAUUGUGGGCUGCAACCCGCCCACAUGAAGUUGGAGUUGCUAGUAAUCGCGGAUCAGCAUGCCGCGGUGAAUACGUUCCCGGGCCUUGUACACACCGCCCGUCACACCAUGGGAGUUGGGAGCACCCGAAGUCAGUGAGGUAACCGCAAGGAGCCAGCUGCCGAAGGUGAGACCGAUGACUGGGGUG